Belonocnema kinseyi is the source of this 712-nucleotide long non-coding RNA. RefSeq lists it as uncharacterized. The transcript has 3 exons. The record is from RefSeq and is a predicted model, not a curated record. Lineage: Eukaryota; Metazoa; Arthropoda; Insecta; Hymenoptera; Cynipidae.
AAUGGGAAAUAGUGAAGUCUAUCGUCGACGAUAGAGCGGAUGGCCUCAAACGUGCCAAAAAGCUCUGUCGAGGAAGAAGUUUCAUAAAAUCAGACGCAGGAACGAGAUUAAAAUUUUAUGAACACCCAUUGACAGGCAAACAACUUGUUGUAGACGACACAAGGCAUUGUCUACGUUUCUCGAUCAGGAGGAAUGUCAAACGAGUUGAACAACAUUAUUCCAAAAGCCUCGAAUGGAGCUCAGGAAGGAGUCGCAAUCGACUGAAAUGAUUAUCCAGGGAUGAAUUUCAUGCUGUAUGGGAACCUGUGCUAGUAUGUUCAAGUCCGAUGUUUAAUUUAAACACGCUGGAUCGUUCACGAAGAGCAAUGUGGAAACUGCCAUUUUCUAAAAACACCACUGUCGAAGAAGCCGGCGGUUAUGUACCUGAAAGUUCCAAUAAUCUGAGAGACAUUAUUUACAGCGUUUAUCAGGAACUCGUCAAGGUCGGCACUAUCGUUUCUGAACCGGAAGUUAAUCCUCCAACCGGACCACUGGAUUACAGCUAGGCUAGGGUAAGAUUGAUUGUUGUAUUAUUGUACAGGCCUCAGAUUCACUAAACUAUUGACAACCUUACACACUUUUUUUAAGGAGUUAGACUAUUUUAAUAAGUACUUUUUUGAAAAAUUUCAUACAAAAUAAUGAAAUACAAAAUGGUAAUCAAAUGGUUAAAUUU